UAUAUAAGCCCCUCUGUUAACUUUUGUUCAAGCCUGUCUAGAUCUUUUAUCAGUCUAGAAAGAUGUUGGAGAAAAGACAUCAUCCUCUUCUAUAAUCUCCAUCUGUAAUUGGACUAACAACUGGACCAGUGAAUGCAGGUCACACCAUGGUCUCAAGAGGGAAAAUGAGUGCUCUAUGGAUUGAACAGAAAAGAUUAAUCAAAACUCCAACCAUCUGUAUGAGGGUCUGGAUGGAUAAAGGAUGCCCACUGGAGCUGGAAAUGAUGGAUCAGGUGGAUCCACACUUGAACCAUCUGUAUGAUGAUCUGCACCCACUGGAUCUGUAAAUGGUGGUGCAGGUUUCUGAAUUGAUGUCAGAUGCAAAGCAGAAGCUUAUUUUCUGCCAGUUUGGCUUCAUUGUGGAAAAUGCUUGAAACUAAAAUGCAGAAUUCUGGCCUGGUGUUUGGUCCCCCCUUUCUCUGGCUUGUGUCUCCAUCAUCAUUACACUCUUGUCAGUGUAAUAGUAUCGUCGUCUGCGUACCAGGACUUUGUUACUCAGCUGUCCCUUCUCCUUCAAGCUACAUUUUUGUCAAGCUGCAACAAGUUGGAAUACAUAAUUAUUAACGUUUAAUGAUUUUGAUGUAUGAAAUAUGUAACAAAAGCAAAAAAUGUAUAGACAUUCUAUUAAGAAAUUACCUUUUUGUUGUUUGUUUACUGACCUUUCAACCAUAUUGCAUUUAUAAUUGAUCAUCAUACCUUUGGUCUACUGUUAACAGGCUACUGUAGAAAACAAAGUCAAACAAAAAAGAGAGAAAAAAUUAUAAAUGCUGAAUGUGUCUCAUCUUAAAUACAUUGUUGUUGUUUUUGUUUCAUUGAAUUUGGAUGUUUUGAUGAUUUAAGGAAAAUUUACGUAGCAUAUAUAUUGAUGUUUUAAAUCAGAGUUUGUUAAUGACACUUAAUCAUUAACAAACAUUUAAAAAGCUUUAUUACAAUACUAAUUGAUAAUAUUAAUGUAAUAAUCUUGUUUUGUAACACCCUAAAUCACUGAGCGCACAAACGCUACCCCUGUUACAAGCAUGAGUGGUUGACUUCAUGCAGACAUUGAAGUACCGCGAGAGUGAUUCAAAAGCCCACGAAACAGUGUAAUCACGCGGUACUGUGAUGUCAUACUGGUUAACGCUAAGCCACGUGAAGCCGGACACAAGGGCUACACUAAUCUUUGGGCUGGAGUAGCCUGUGGUUUUUAAGGCUUCGUGUCUCAUCGCGUUAAACGAUCGCAGAACGAUUUAUUUCUCUUUUUCACCUCGAUCUUUGGCCUCGUGUGAUUUACCAAAACCAACAUGUGAAGUUACAACGCUGACAAAGGAGUUUCAUCAGUAGAGUGUGUCCUGGUAAACGUGUGCUCGGAAACAUGCAGAUUACAGUAUUUACAGAGCCGACCUUGAGGCACCCACUGAUGGAUAAUCUGUUUACCUAAAAACAGCCCACCACAAUCCAUGUUUACCAGCUGUGAAAGUGCGCAGGCCAAAAAUCUUCCUUCACCUGUGGGCCUCUACCCACAUGUAGAUAAGCACUUCAGGAGAAACCUGCCUGUGAUCUGCUAAGAUGCAAAGAUUCAACUCUGGCCCAUUGUCAUCCCAACACCUCAUCUGCCAUCAGUUUCGUUUAGUGUCGGUCUAUUGCAAAAGUUCUUAUAAACUUUAAAUGAGACUUUGUGUUAAGCAGGGGUUUCCAAACUUUUCAUUCCACAACAUAUUAAGCCCAGGAUACACAGCAGGAUUUUUGCAAUCCAAUAAGACCUUAUCACACUGUGUGACAAGGAUUGUUUAAACUUCAGCAGUAGACUGUCGAUGAAGACACCUAUUGCAUCUGAGGCUGCGACAUCCGUCAUCAGCAUGCGCUAGUGGUAAACAAAUACAGGUAUGCAGGUCGUAGCAACAAACACAUUGUUGAUGUGCGUUGAUCAUGCUGAACUUCUUACACUGUCAUAAAACUAUCGUAGGUGUCUUUGGUCCAAGGACUGGGAAAACAGACGUCUUUAAACCUCUCACACUGUAUGAGAUAGGACCACCAAUUAAGAGCCACGAUCACAGAAAUCUCCACGAUUGUUUCACGAUUGGUAAUCUUUCAUCUGGGACAGCCAAAAAUCGUGCCGUGUAUUAUGGGCUUUAGACAGGUGUAAUCUUAUAGUAUAUCAAAACCAUUGCUAAUAAUUAAUUGGACAAACCAUCACUACAAUGCAACACUCACUAUCUUACGGUGCGACCCACAAGUGGGUCUUCACCCACAGUUUAAAAACCCUGAGUAUGAGUAAGAGUAUGUUGUAUUGUAAUUAAAGUCACAUCUAAGUGUUAUGGAACAGUUUGUCAUUAUAUUCACAGUAUUACAUGGUUCUUUCAGCAGUUACUACGUUACAGUGCUCUUAAAGUGUCCUGAUCAGCUUUGGGUCUUGUGAAGUAAUGUAAUGAGAAUGUGAUCAAUAUCUUUGCAGUAUUUUUGUUACACUGUGGCUGUAAUCAUAUUAACACAUAGGUUAAACAUUUUAUUCAAAUUUGGUAAACAAACUAGUCAAUAUAAUUCAUGCUGUGAUGCUGGAUUAAACCUGGUCAAAUGAUUGUGUAUUGUGUUUUCAAUUUUUUAUGAGGUUUCUUCAUCUAUAUAAACAUUCUCAAUAUCA
Molecule: long non-coding RNA, 2656 nt
Organism: Paramisgurnus dabryanus
Lineage: Eukaryota; Metazoa; Chordata; Actinopteri; Cypriniformes; Cobitidae
Source: RefSeq, a predicted model, not a curated record